UACUAAAGGGAGGCUGGAAAAGGAAAUAGCUGUUGUUGGAAGGGGGGGAAGGCUUUGGCUAUCGAUUUCUUUUUUCUGUUGUUGUUUGCUUGGUGUUGUUUGUUUUGGGUUUUUUGGUCAUGAUUUGGAAAUGUGCUAUUAGGCAAGUGGAAGAAUUGAAAAACAGAACCAAGAGAGUUAUGUUGUGGGUUGAGGUUACAAUGAAACAAGCAAAGAUACCCAGAAGGAGGUUUUCCAAAAGCAGAUGUCUUAAGGACCUUCCUGAGUCUCAAAUUCAGGCUCUUGGCCCUGAUGAAGCAGAAGCUGCCUGCAGGCAGCUUUUGGACAGCUGGAUGAAGAUAUCACUCGUCAAGCGUCAGCCCUCUCCAGGUGGCAUGGAUCUUCAUUUGGAUUUCAGGAGACAUAAACAACAGCAGCUUGUGAAGACAACGCUUCUGUGAAGGAUGCCUCCCAUCUUUGAACAAUGAAGCCGUGAUACCCUCUGGAGACCCGGAGCUGCUGGAAGUAACCUAAGGCAUCCCCUCCCUUUCAGCACAGGCUCAGGGUUGAAGUGCAGGGAAGGCUGCAGGCAGGACCAGCUGUAGCUCAGGCAGCAGCCUCAAGAGGGAGAGAAGGCUUUCUCACAGGCUUUUAUGACCAAUGUUCAAAGGGAAAUGCCUUUAGAGAAGAAAAGGCUGGGCUUUCUGGCUGUACUAAACUCAGACCUGCAAAUCUGUUCUGUGGCUUUUCUUUCCCUGAUGCUUCUCUUCUACCUAAUCCUUCCCUUUUCUCCUGCUGAUGGCUGGGGACUUCUUUUCUCAACCUGGGGGUUUUAAAGCUUAGCCUGGGAUGAGGAGUCUCACCUAAACAGAUUCAAGUCUGCACCUUUUCUCCUCGGUCAUCAUCCCUGUGUUUGACAGACAAAUAGCCUGGACAGGAGGGGAACGAACUGAUUAUUUCCCUUGAACUGAAGGACGCCCUGGCCCUGUGUGGUUGAUCACUGGACAAGAGCAGCACAAUUGGACAAAUGACCAAUAUAAUAGCUAACAAAUGGAAAGCACUGCUGCCAGCAAAGGAGCUGGCUAUUUAAAGGCAGCAAGAGGUUUGCAGCACCAGCCCUAGCAACAAGGACAAAAGUUAUUCCAAACACAUGAGGCAAAGCCACCAUGAACCCACUGUAGCAUGCUAUUAAUAGGAAGGGGGCCUUCAUUAAUUUCUUAAAGGGUGAUGCCAAAACAUCAGAAGAAAUUUGUGGUGCACAUAAAGGAGCAGCACGUUGCACUGUAUCUAAUUGCCAGAGUAAUUAUUUUCUGCUAUGCAAAUUACCAGGAGCAAAUCCACUGCAGUACAUCUAUGUGUAUUUAAUUAUCAUCAAGAGCUGGAGUUGAGGGACUAGAUUUAAUAUGUUCAUAAUGAAAUAGCCAGAAUUUGUG
Long non-coding RNA from Passer montanus (Eurasian tree sparrow), 1412 nucleotides. RefSeq lists it as uncharacterized. The record is from RefSeq and is a predicted model, not a curated record. The transcript is spliced from 4 exons. Lineage: Eukaryota; Metazoa; Chordata; Aves; Passeriformes; Passeridae.